Molecule: long non-coding RNA, 346 nt
Organism: Mauremys mutica (yellowpond turtle)
Lineage: Eukaryota; Metazoa; Chordata; Testudines; Geoemydidae
Exons: 3
Source: RefSeq, a predicted model, not a curated record
GUCACUCUGAGUUUCGAGAAGAAAAGGAAGGAACCAGGGGGAGCAUAGAGGCUCUGGGAUCCUGGCCAUAGGGCAGCUUCACAUAAAACCAGGAUUUGCAACCUUUCCAGAGCUUGCAUUUGAUCAGAAGUGUGAUUUCGUUGUAUAAAUAAAAAUUGUGAGGCAGUUGGCUCACGCUCUUCAAGAAAAAUCAGCCUCUUAUGCUGCUUUUAAGACUGCUGAAUGAGUGAUAUUCCCUAGAGGCACUGUCGUGGAGUAGACUGAUCUAAAGCCGCAACCUUGAUUGUAGGCAGAAAGGAGGGUGAGGAUGGAAAUCUCUUCAAAUGCACAUUUGCAACUGAAGCAG